This 233-nucleotide long non-coding RNA is filed under the name Homo sapiens (human). RNAcentral describes it as "non-protein coding lnc-RBMS1-1:1". Lineage: Eukaryota; Metazoa; Chordata; Mammalia; Primates; Hominidae. The record is from RNAcentral.
GUUGAAUCAGCACAGUCACUCGGUGAAAAAUGCAGAUUUGGAAACAAAGCAGGAAGAAGAUGCCAGAAAACCCUGGCAAGGCUCUGACCACUGCCUGCUUAGGAAUGGCCGCAGAGGGAGAGAAAUGUGUUUGCAAUUAGGACGACCCAGAGCAGGUCCGAUUACAUCUGCACGCAGCCACGCUGAAGAGAUUUCCAGAGUGAACUUAUCGUGUGGGCCUAAGUGGAUAAAAG